GACGAACGCUGGCGGCGUGCUUAACACAUGCAAGUCGAACGGGGCGAAGUGAUAGCUUGCUAUUAUGGAGCCUAGUGGCAAACGGGUGAGUAACGCGUAGGCAACCUGCCCUUCAGAUGGGGACAACACCUCGAAAGGGGUGCUAAUACCGAAUGACGUUUCCUGGUCGCAUGACCUGGAAACCAAAGGCCGGGGCAAACCGGUUCACUGAAGGGAUGGGCCUGCGUCUGAUUAGCAGUUGGUGGGUAACGGCUCACCAAGGCGACGAUCAGUAGCCGGUCUGAGAGGAUGAACGGCCACAUUGGGACUGAGAUACGGCCCAGACUCCUACGGGAGGCAGCAGUGGGGAAUAUUGGGCGAUGGGGGAAACCCUGACCCAGCAACGCCGCGUGAAGGAAGAAGGCCUUC
Molecule: ribosomal RNA, 408 nt
Filed under: uncultured bacterium
Lineage: Bacteria
Description: bacterial SSU rRNA
Rfam family: Bacterial small subunit ribosomal RNA
Source: RNAcentral